Molecule: ribosomal RNA, 275 nt
Filed under: uncultured bacterium
Lineage: Bacteria
Description: partial 16S ribosomal RNA
Rfam family: Bacterial small subunit ribosomal RNA
Source: RNAcentral
CCUACGGGUGGCUGCAGUAAGGAAUAUUGGUCAAUGCCCGACAGGGUGAACCAGCCAUUCCGCGUGGAGGAUGAAGGCCCUAUGGGUUGUAAACUUCUUUUAGAUGGGAAUAAAAUGCCCUUUGCGAAGGGUACUGAAGGUACCAUCAGAAUAAGCACCGGCUAACUCCGUGCCAGCAGCCGCGGUAAUACGGAGGGUGCGAGCGUUAUCCGGAAUUACUGGGUUUAAAGGGUGCGUAGGCGGAUAAUUAAGUCUAAGGUGAAAGUUUGUUGCUU